ACAUACGACCAUAGAUGGUAGAAAACUCGGGAUCCCGUCCGCUCUCCCAUAGAUAAGCUACCAAUCGCCUGACUAGUAGUUGGGUC
RNAcentral lists this ribosomal RNA (86 nucleotides) under Neurospora tetrasperma FGSC 2509. Lineage: Eukaryota; Fungi; Ascomycota; Sordariomycetes; Sordariales; Sordariaceae. The record is from RNAcentral.